RNAcentral lists this transfer RNA (72 nucleotides) under Saccoglossus kowalevskii. RNAcentral's name for it is "tRNA-Pro". It matches the Rfam family "tRNA". From Rfam's summary of the family: Transfer RNA (tRNA) molecules are approximately 80 nucleotides in length. Their secondary structure includes four short double-helical elements and three loops (D, anti-codon, and T loops). Lineage: Eukaryota; Metazoa; Hemichordata; Enteropneusta; Harrimaniidae. The record is from RNAcentral.
GGCUUGUUGGUCUAGUGGUACGAUUCCUGUUUCGGGUACAGGAGGUCCCGGGUUCGAACCACGGACAAGCCC